GUGGGGAAUAUUGCACAAUGGGCGCAAGCCUGAUGCAGCCAUGCCGCGUGUGUGAAGAAGGCCUUCGGGUUGUAAAGCACUUUCAGUAGGGAGGAAGGCGUGGUCGCUAAUAUCGGCUACGUUUGACGUUACCUACAGAAGAAGCACCGGCUAACUCCGUGCCAGCAGCCGCGGUAAUACGGAGGGUGCAAGCGUUAAUCGGAAUUACUGGGCGUAAAGCGCAUGCAGGCGGUCUGUUAAGUCAGAUGUGAAAGCCCCGGGCUUAACCUGGGAGUGGCAUUUGAGACUGGCAGGCUAGAGUCUUGUAGAGGGGGGUAGAAUUCCAGGUGUAGCGGUGAAAUGCGUAGAGAUCUGGAGGAAUAUCGGUGGCGAAGGCGGCCCCCUGGACAAAGACUGACGCUCAGAUGCGAAAGCGUGGGUAGCAAACAGGAUUAGAAACCCUUGUAGUCC
This 450-nucleotide ribosomal RNA is filed under the name uncultured bacterium. Its description in RNAcentral is "bacterial SSU rRNA". It matches the Rfam family "Bacterial small subunit ribosomal RNA", at positions 354 to 796 of the family's 1533-position model. The record is from RNAcentral.